GUCCGGGCUCCACAGGGCAGGAUACUCCGUAACGCGGAGUGGGGGCGACCCUAAGGAAAGUGCCGCAGAAAAUAUACCGCCUUUCGCACGCCGGGAGGUAAGGGUGAAAAGGUGAGGUAAGAGCUCACCGACGUAUUGAGUAAUUGAUGCGGUCGGAAAAACCUUAAGGGCUGAAAGAUCAAAUAAACCGGGAUCCAGUAUUGGAAAAAGUUACUCGCUUUCCCCGGAGGGUAGGUCGAUAAAUACCCGAAAGGGUCAGAUAAAUGACAGAACCCCUGUUGGGGACAGAACCCGGCUUACAGGUUUGCAUUUUUA
Molecule: RNase P RNA, 315 nt
Filed under: Flavobacteriales bacterium
Lineage: Bacteria; Pseudomonadati; Bacteroidota; Flavobacteriia; Flavobacteriales
Description: partial RNase P RNA component class A
Rfam family: Bacterial RNase P class A
About the family: Ribonuclease P (RNase P) is a ubiquitous endoribonuclease, found in archaea, bacteria and eukarya as well as chloroplasts and mitochondria. Its best characterised activity is the generation of mature 5'-ends of tRNAs by cleaving the 5'-leader elements of precursor-tRNAs. Cellular RNase Ps are ribonucleoproteins.
Source: RNAcentral